Molecule: ribosomal RNA, 35 nt
Filed under: Anadara kagoshimensis
Lineage: Eukaryota; Metazoa; Mollusca; Bivalvia; Arcoida; Arcidae
Also listed under: 1 other name
Description: partial 5.8S rRNA
Source: RNAcentral
AUUACUCUAGGCGGUGGAUCACUCGGCUCGUGUGU